GAGGUUCGGCUCUGCCCUGCCUGGGGCCUCCGGGCUGCCAGACCAGCGGCGUGCGCGGGAGCUAACAAGGGAGGAGCACAGAAGUCCCAGCUGCCAACAGCAGCCUCUACACGGCCAAGGUACAGAGGAGAUGGCCACACUGCCAUGCCCAUACCUGCCUGCCUGCUGCAGAUCUGUCCUCGGGAAUGAAACUAGAAGAGACCCCUCUGUGCAGAGAGAGGCACUUGGCAUAGAUUUAAUCCCUGAGAGAAGAGAGGGCUCCCUGCUGCUCAGAGCUCCUUGUUGAAGACAGUUCUGCCUGCAGCUGCCUCGGAUUACAGGUCUGGCAGAUGGAGACCUCAGCUCCUUACAGCUCCAGGUAAUUUCAACUCCAGCCAUGGGAUGUUCCUGCUAAUAGUCACUCCUUCCUGUUACAGGUCAGCUUGGCUCUCCCUCGUGGAGGCUACAUAAAGCAGAUGCUGACCUGUUCAGCCUGUGCUAGGUGUGCAGUCCUGGCUGACAGACAUCACAGCU
This is a long non-coding RNA of Pezoporus occidentalis (night parrot), 513 nucleotides long. RefSeq lists it as uncharacterized. Lineage: Eukaryota; Metazoa; Chordata; Aves; Psittaciformes; Psittacidae. The transcript has 3 exons. The record is from RefSeq and is a predicted model, not a curated record.